This is a long non-coding RNA of Oenanthe melanoleuca, 1061 nucleotides long. RefSeq lists it as uncharacterized. The transcript has 2 exons. The record is from RefSeq and is a predicted model, not a curated record. NCBI's taxonomy places the organism in Eukaryota, Metazoa, Chordata, Aves, Passeriformes, Muscicapidae.
AGCGCCGAGUGACGGGCUCCCGGGUGCGGGGGGCUGCGGAGCUCCGAGGGGCCGGGCGGGGGCUGUCAGCCCCCCGCAGUGCCCCGAGGGGACCCCCGCAGCCAGGGCCGGCCCCGCGGGCUCCCGGCCGGAGCGCCGCACGCCGCCGCGCAUUCCCCGGAGCGCCCGCGCUCCGUGACCCCGCCGCGGGGCCGGUCCCGGGCCUGCGCCCCGCCGUCUUCAGCGCGGGUCCGUGUGCCGUAAGAAGGCAGCAAGGAGGAGGAGAGGGUGAAGGGCUUCCAGAGGGGCCGCGUGGGAAGGGACGCGAGGAGCCGAGCUGUCGCUGCGCGGUGGGAACGCGGUGCGUGGAUCGGCCAGGGCCUGACCAAAAGAGGCAAGCCUCGUAGCACCGGGAUGAGGGGAGAUGAGGGGAGUCCCUUCCCAGGGAGCAGAGGCACCAGCUGUCACCCAGGAAUCACAGACGUGAUCCCUGGAAGGGCGCUGCAUCCCUGCAAAGUGAAGUGACUGCAAGAACCGGGAAAAUAUCCUUGUUUCCAUCAAGACAAGGAAGCAAUCUCUAUUCUUUGUUUGUGAAAACUGCACUCUUGUACCUUUUCUAGUGCUCCAGGACAUCCUGCUGCUGUUAGAAAGUUAUUUAGAAGAGCUGUUCCUCUCUUUUCUGUGUGUCACAGUGAGCACAGCAUAUUCUGGGCAGCUGGAAGAUUAAGGAACUGCCUCUAAGGCAGAAAGCAAACUUCACCCGUAUUGAACAGAGCAGAACUUCCCAAAAGCCAGUUGAGUGCACUGGAACAAAGUUAAUAUAUAAUUAAUAGCCCAAAUGUGUUGUUAUGCAUUUUAAUAUAGUUCGUGUCGAUACAGUUCAAAAUGCUGGUCAUGAUUCUGUAGAAACUACUUCCUCAGCAUCAGAAAAAUACAGUUUGUAAUUUUUAAAAUUGUGUCUGGCUCCACAAGCCUGAAAAUUUCUAAGCAAGCAGCCACAAAAUAUAAAGACCAGAAUUUACAUAUUUGGAUAAGCUACAUUUCUCAUAUUAAAUUGCUCUCACAUGUAAAAGGCUUUUAAA